Molecule: long non-coding RNA, 870 nt
Filed under: Equus asinus (donkey)
Lineage: Eukaryota; Metazoa; Chordata; Mammalia; Perissodactyla; Equidae
Description: lncRNA (ENSEASG00005032753.1)
Source: RNAcentral
GGCCCUGCAACCAAACCCCAGGGCAGCUUGUCCUCUCCCCUAAAGCUAAUUUCCUUACCCCCAUGGGCGGAAUGUGGACUGGGUGGUUUUUCUGGCGGAUUGCUCCAGAUUCACAGCAGACCCACCAUUCACUCUCACCAGGCCCUGGACAGGGCUGGUCCGGGAAAUUGUGAAGGAAUUCUUUGAUGCCUUCCUCCAAGGUUUAGGAAUGACAAAUGAAGCCUUAGGACAAUGCUGGCCCGACAGAAGUUUGCUAAACCUGGUCUUCCCUCUCCCGUCUGCUCUCUCUGACUCAGCUCCAGGUCCUCUCUCCUUCUGGCCCCCGAACUCAGCCUUCCCUUCCCUCGGGGCCUUGAGACAAGCUACCUGGCUGUGGCAAUGACCGUUUAAGGAGUGACCCCUACAAGGCAUUUCUGUUUCAAUGGCUGACUCUUGAGCCGUAACCCCCAAAAGUGUGGAUGGCAGUGCCGAGACUGGCGGUUAGGGGGUGCUAUCACUCAGAUGGGGCCUGCCCUGAAUAUUAGCCCUUGAUUUGCCACCCCACUCCCUGCCUGACCCCAGCAGGUUCCCCGCCACCCAAACCCUCCAGCGUCUGAGAAACACAACUUGCCCUGGUCACCCAUCCCCCCCACACACACAGACAGUGCUGACCUUCAGGGGAACAUUGAAACCUCUUCACUGUAAAGUGUGUGUGGAAAAGAAACUGAGCAUCUGAAACCCCAGCUCCUGCACUCCACCCAUUGCCCAAGCGGCCGCCCACAGCAGUUACAAAGAGGAAGACUAACCCUGAGCUAACAUCCGCCAAUCCUCCUCUUUUUACUGAGGAAGACUGGCCCUGAGCUAACAUCCGUGCCCAUCUUCCUCUACUUU